AAAGUUUAUGAAGAUAAAUAACUAACAAAUCUGUUAACAAUAGUUAACACACUAAAGUAAACAGAACAAACUACUAACAAAUGUACUUAUUUAUUCAUUUAUCAAUUUAUAAAUAUACUUAUUUUUUUAAAUAUCAAGGUUACGCUUCUUUAUGAGUCUUAAUAAAGAAUCAAAAAUAAAAAAUGAACUGGCUCUAGCUGAUAUUCGUUCCUCUUUCAGAACCAUCUGCACUCCCAGAUUAAGGUCAGUGAACCUUCUGACCUUCCUCUUUAUAUCUCAGAAACGUUCUCUAUUUAUAGCAGAUAUAUUAUAUAUGUCAAUGUUUUCCCAUGACAAUACCCCUGAACACAUCAACAGUAUUUGAAAAGACAAUAUAAAUGAAUGAACAGGGCACAAUUAACCAAUCAAGGCACAAACAUGCUUAAAAGUACACUUUUAUCAGAAGUACAAUUCAUUUUUUCUAAUCGUUUUAGGGACUAGAGUGCACCUUUAAAAGGCUGCGUUAGCACAAAGCCAAGCACAACAUUCAACAGCAGAUUUCCACAGCAUGAUCUGAACAUGCAUUACAGUGCAUUCUGUACACGCAUACAAGCAUUAAAAUGCUUACUCUAACUUUUUUGGUUGGGAGGCAAUAAUCAUAUCACUCAUAUCAUUUACAAUCCUCAGAGACGGUAAGCACAUGCCUCUCUCUCUAUAUAAUGGUCACAGAUAGUGGUAAUAGAUUACAGUUGUACAUCCUGCUGUGAUGACAUGCAGCGGGAAUUCAUUAAUACAUAAUCACAAAUGCUCUCUGUUCAAAUAGCAUGUGUUCACUACAGUCUUUACAGAUAUUGAUCAUACUCAACUACUGAGACUAAUCCACUAAAUGUCUUAGACAAUCUGGAAUUACAUGGCACAUUUUUAUCUUUUUGAAGCACAGACACAACUGCACUUUUAUUUUGCCCUAUAUUUUGCAGCUCUGGGACCUCUUGGAACAAAACUCGUUCUAGCGUAAACGUUGAGCCAUAUUUUAGUUGACUACAGCUGAAGAAAUGUAUACGCAACAAGAGGUGCUGGAGGCCAUAAUGUUUGUGAGCAAAGUGCUAUACUGUAUAUUUAUGUACAUUGUGAUUCUGAAUAUUAUAUCUGUAAAUAUCGGUGUACAUUUUGUUAAACGAACGGUAAGAAAUCUAUGAAAGGCAAACAGGUGAAUUCUUGUAACACUGCUGUGUAUGAUAUUGUUGUACAGUUAAAGCGUAGAAUAUUUAACUAUUUUGUACAUUGUGUAAUAGUGUAUGUGUUGUGUAUGGGGGUAGUGUCUUGUAAUCAAGUGUGUGUGUGUAUGUGUGUAAAAAAAAAAGCUGUUUUAUUUUUGCUAUUUUGAUGUUGUGAGUCCCUUACCUCCCUUAAUUCACCUCCAGCUGUGAGUUUUGGUUCCUCUGUGAACAUGACUCGAUCAUUUGUGUGUUCACGCCACAAAGAUUGUUGGUUAGUGCACUGAACUGAAAUUUUCUUUUACGCUUUUAAUGUAAAUGUUGGUUUAAAUCUGAUGUGGAAGUCAGCUUAUCAUACAGACAGCACCUUCUGUACUGUACGCUCCUCUGGCCUUAGUAUCCGCAAUAUUAUUGUUUGCUGCUUCUAGGUUUCGUCAAAAUGUUCAAGCACUUUUUAUGUUUAGUCCGACUAUAUUCAGCGCAGUCAUUAUUAGUAGUGUUAGAUUAUUGUAAGACACACUCAGCUGGGACAUUUCCGCACUUUGUGUCCCAAGCGUAUACGAGCACUAAGGAGGAAAGUGAAAAAUAGAGUACUUUUGCACUCUGGAAGUGCUACUUUAAUCAUUACAAAUAUACUUGAUGUGAAUGUAAACGUAUUUUUAAUCCCCUAAAGUACUGUAAGUUUAGUAAGAAGGACACAGAUGAAACGUGUACUAUUACCCUCCAGUCUACACUUAUGUGCUGUGCUAGUUUUAGAUUUAUAAGCAAUAUUUCUGCAGGCAUUUACUUUGGUUGGACGUUGGUCAGAUGGUCUGUGAGGCCACAGGAACCACUGUUACUCUGAGAGUAGCGGUGUUGGAGGGCUUCACUGCUAAAGAAGAGCAAUGCUCUUAAAACUUUAGUCAAACCCUAUUCUGUUGGCUAUACAAGGACUAUUUUAAUGUCUCAGUGUCAUAGAUAUUGUACAGUAUUUCCGAUUCACUUGGGAUAACGCUGAGUUAUGAAUAUUAAAUAUGGACCAUCAAAAAAAAACGAACAAUAAAAAGU
Molecule: long non-coding RNA, 2240 nt
Organism: Cyprinus carpio carpio
Lineage: Eukaryota; Metazoa; Chordata; Actinopteri; Cypriniformes; Cyprinidae
Source: Ensembl